Long non-coding RNA from Formica exsecta, 3667 nucleotides. RefSeq lists it as uncharacterized. Lineage: Eukaryota; Metazoa; Arthropoda; Insecta; Hymenoptera; Formicidae. The transcript is spliced from 2 exons. The record is from RefSeq and is a predicted model, not a curated record.
CCGAUCUAAAACACCUGUAUGUCUAAUCGCUCUUCUCCUUUCACGAGAUUGGCAUGAAGAUAAUAGAUCGUACUUUUCGGCUUUCGAGAUCAAUUGGAUCUCAGACGCAAUGUAAUGAGUGAGGUGUCUCAUGAUGGUGAAACCCCUGCGGCGAUUUAAUUUCCAAUUUCGCGGCGGCGAGACUGUAUCUCAUGCGGGCCCGGGAGUUAUCCUGGGACAUGUCGAGGUAUCUCUGCGCGUCGAGGAGUCAUCGGGCCCUAGGAGGUCGAUCUGACACGGCGGCGGCGACGGCCGCAAGAGAACGAGGAGAAGUCGGUAACUUAACUGGCCUAAAUGGGUUUAACUCGAUGUGAUUUUGCUGGCGAACCACUAAAUUGAACGAAUACGAACUAAACUGAACUCAACUAAGCUAAUCAUAUCACAUUACUAGCGUUAUUAGCCGAGCGACGAUAUAAGUGAAGGUCCGGUGAGCGCCGGGCUGCAGUGUAACGCAGCCUCCUGCACUGACCCUCCGCAUCCGCGACUUUCUCUCGCAUCCGUGCGUCCUCCAUCUUGUUAUCUCGCGAGGUAAACAUGACCUACAAUAAGACGUACGUUCGCCGUCAUCACCGUCGUGCCGUUAACGGAUUAGGUGUUCGAGCUUCGAAGCAGCUCGGAGGAGAGAUCGAAGAAGAGUCGCAGAACGGAAGUGAUUUCUCUCUCGCGGUCGCGAUUAUCCGCCAUCGUGUUUCCGCGUUUCUCGCGUCGCGCCACGACGCACCGGAAGUGAACGCGAUGAGCACCAACAGUGCGUCGAAUUUAAAGAGCGAGCGAUGGAUCACACGUCAUUUUAUUCGAGCGAAAUAUCAUAAUUUGCGAGUGGCAGAUGCUUGUAUAAAAACGUGUAAACAAAAUUUAAAAAUAGAGAAUGUUUUAGAUCAUUUCUUUAAAUAUGUUUUAAAUCUUGAUUUGUUUUUUUUUUUGUCGGAACUACGUGCGAUAUUUUAGAUCUAGUGCGAUAUUUUAGAUCUAGCGCGAUAUAAGAUCACGACUCGCUUGCGUUUUUUGACUUUCGCGUAUCUUUCUUGCAAAAAUUAAUUAUCUUUCUAAAAGGACAGGCAGUGUACAUUUUUGGCGUUUAACAUUCUCAUUUGUGUUAUACGACGAUUAUGUUUUAUUAUUAAAUUUUUAACGAACAAAUGGACGCAACGCGUGAAAGAGACAUGAAAUGCGUAAGGAAGUAGACGCCGAUUGUUCCCCACUCCAUCUGCGACGUGGUUGGACGAUGUCUAAAGGGAGAUGAGAGAAGAAAAUGAACGCGAUACGUUGUCGCCCCUCUAUUUUACACAGGGCGGGCUCGGUCUCUUCAACUCCACCUCUUCACUUCCGUUGCUCUUUCGAACUCGAGAGAUAUACAUAUAAAUUAUUUGGGAGUUCAUUUUUCAGCUACGUUUUAUGUACUGUAUAAAUGCGUUUUUUCUUUAUUAAGUGAGUACGUAUAUUAUCAAAUGUUCGCGAAGAUGAAAAUUAAGAAAAGACAAUUCAAUAGAGAAAAGGACAAAUGUCUAAUAUAUAUAUAAAAUUUUAUUUCGUGUUUACAACAUUUUACAUCUACUGUAUACAAGUUUGCAUAUAAAUCUUCUUAUCGUAUACAUAGAUCAUUCGCAGGAUACUCGAAAAAUCUAUAAUACAUAUAUUUUCAAUCAUUUUUAUAAGAAUUAUAAUAAUUGAAAAGCAUUUAUUAAAGUUUGACAUACAAAGUAGAUUGAUUGUAAAAAUUUCUUGUUGAACGAAUGGUUUGAUAUUUUACGCGAUCGUAAUUAAAAAUAAAAGUUUAUAAUCUUAAUAAAUGUUUGAAAAAUCUUACAAUUGUAAUAAAAUAUCGUGUUCGGUCGAUUACUGUAUAUCAAACGCAGAAUUCUUCUGAACUACAUAAGAUUUCGCAGAUUAUACAAAGACUGCAAGCAAUAUAAUUUUUGCCGCGAGAGGAAACUUCGACAGAAAUAUGAGACAGAAAGGAAGACGCGAAUGUGCGACCUUUCAACUUUUGAACGUCGGUCGUCUUUUUUAUUGGUUAGCAUAUCAUUUGUAUUUUUUUCUUGUUUUUUUACGUCGUAGGUAUGUCGAGCGUUUAACGAUGAACGCGCUAUGUUGCCCGCAGCGCCGGGACCCGCCAAUUGAGCCUGUUAACGCUCAAUUGGUCUAAAUUGCUUCAAUUGGAUGUAAUUGCGCGAAGGCGACGGGGAACCUCCGCUCUACGUUUCUCUCUCUCUUUCUUUUUUUAUAUACCGCGAAUAUCAUCGACAAAAUGUUAUGUUCUCAGGCUCUUCCUGCCAACAACAGAGAUCGUAUUUUUAACCAUCUCGACCGGUCUAGCAAAGUGGAUUUUUGCUUAUUGUCUAUCAAACUCGUUGUCAAACUUGUAUAGAUAAAGCAGAAAAAGAGAAAGAGAAAACGUCUUUAUUGAAUGAAAGCUUAGCACAUUUUUACUAAUAAUGUGAUUGCUAAAUAAAUAACGCAAUUUUUGCAAACUUAUUUUACACAUGUCAAAGUUACAGUUUAUUAAUAUAAUUAUUCUAUUAAUUUUGAGCAUAUUUGAUUAUAAUCGGUAAUUAUCGUUUUCCCUCUGCGCGUAUUGCAAUAUUAUUACAAGUUCCCAAUCGUUAUAAGAGUUUAUUAUUUUACUCUUAAUAAAUAUUUUUAAAUUAUUUUAUUAUUUCAAGUUUUUCUUAUUAUACAAUUUUAUAAGUUCUCUUUCUAUUUUAUUUUUUUCCUUCUCUCUUUCUCUCUCUCUCUAUUAUUAUUAUAAGUUACGAUUACAAAAAUUUAUUUAUUAGAUUUGAAAAUAAUCAAAGUGGUUAUUACAUAUAAGACACAAUAUAUCAGGAAUUGCAUAUGUUCUGUUUAUGUGUUCUGAUAUAUAUAUUUGUAGCUGUAUUUUUCAAAUAUUGUACAUAAUGAAACAUAAGAAUUUAAAUUCAUUCAUGGGUAUCCGGAGAAAGAGAGUAAAAUCUCUCUAUACAUGUAUAUGUGUUUGGCACGCGACCCAGCAUGUGAAUCUUGUCUUUGUAUCAUUCCAGACUUCUGAAUACGGGUGAGAUAUAGGUAUAUCUUCGAUAUCCUUAUCAUAUCCAUUACAUUAAAUGUAAUGGUCGAUUUCUUCUACCACCGUUAAAGAUUUGAUUACACUUUUAUAAUUAAGAAACAUUGAUGGUUUAAUAAGUAUGAUAAUAGUUGAUGUGUAAACAUAAGAUAGAAAUAUUUAAUUUAUAAUAAUAUUAAAUAAUUUAUUGUUAGAGAAAGAAAGAGAGUACAUAAUAAAAUAAUAAAAAAAUCAAUUUUAGAAAACUUUAAUAUAAAAGUAUCGAAUUUUUCGAUUCUUUUCCAAGAAUAAAGGUUGUUUCGAAUUGACGCAUAUGUAUAUUUCCCGGAAUUAUAUCUAAUAAUAUCUAAGUGCAUAUCACGCGGUUCCAAGCUCGGAUAUCGCCCUUCGAAGUGAGAGAAAAUGCGAUGCUUUAAACGAUGACGUCGCAUCCUGAUUAACUGUCGGCGAAUACAUUCGCUCGUAUCCGUCGUAUUUCUAUCCUCGUUGGUUUCUGGGUACCAAGUGUUGCUCGUAAUAUAAUAUCUUCAUCACAUUUAUUUAACUAUAAUCGUGCGAUUUUAAUAUCGCGAAAGACACAGCAAA